AAACUAGUGAUAAUCAUGAUUCCAAUCAGAGUUAAUUGAUGGAGAAAUAAUAUUAUUCUAUGUAACAUUAAAGGAAAAGACCACUGGUCUGGCCAUGUGAUAUGGUAGUGAAGUGGGUAUUUGUUGUAGGGUUAUGUAGAGGUUGAAUGGUGUCACUAGGGAGAGUGAAAGGUCUCUUGUGGUAACUAGAUGGGAAAAGGAACAAAGCCAAUAUGAACCCCCACAAAUUUAUGACUUUGUAUUUACAUGAGAACAAAAAAGACUAAGUAGAAGGAAUACGG
RNAcentral lists this long non-coding RNA (281 nucleotides) under Homo sapiens (human). RNAcentral describes it as "HSALNT0218852". The record is from RNAcentral. Lineage: Eukaryota; Metazoa; Chordata; Mammalia; Primates; Hominidae.